Long non-coding RNA from Passer domesticus (house sparrow), 1152 nucleotides. RefSeq lists it as uncharacterized. The record is from RefSeq and is a predicted model, not a curated record. The transcript is spliced from 3 exons. NCBI's taxonomy places the organism in Eukaryota, Metazoa, Chordata, Aves, Passeriformes, Passeridae.
GAUAUGUCGUAGGUUAAGAAGGAAGUGAGUUUUUUGGGAGGUUGUGGUCAAACCAAUCAGUGCUUGGAUUUGAAUAUUGGCACCUGGUUUGGCCACUGAAGGUACGGACCGCCUCUGAGAACACAAGAACUCCUAGGAGAACUCUCUCUUGGCUCUGGUCAGUGAAGGAGGGAUUGCUGUGCAAAAGACAACACAGAAGAGGAAGGAAGGAACGAAGGAAGAGGUGGAAGGAACACUUUUAGAUUAUCUCUUCAUUAUCUUUAACAGACACUUCUGAAUGGAAAAGCAGGAGAGGAAAAAAAUUGCCAUGUCGAAGUACUGUGAGAAGAAUUGUCAACUUAAAUGGGUAACACUGAUGGAGAAUAAUUGAACAGUCCUGGAGAGUAGCUUGCAGAGGAGCCACCAGAUACCACAGUUUUUGUGCAACAGGCUUUGGGUUCUUCUCUGGAAGUUUCUGGAAACUCUGGGUGCAAGGUCCAGGAUCAUUGGAGUAUACCUGGAAAACUGAGAAACCUCAGGGUGCCUCUUGCUGAUAAGUGAUGAUGUGGCAGCUCACACACAACUGUGAGCCAGAGGGAGCUCCAGCACCACCUAACAAAUUCAAUCUGACCUCAUUCCAGGGCGACUGGAGCCUUCCUGCACCUGAAUGCUUUAACAGGGAGGGUCAAGUACUCUUUAAGCCGGUGCUCAGAUGAUACCUAUAUAAAAGUCAGAUCCAGAGCAUAGCCAGUAACCCAGGCAUUUGAUUUUACUAGAAUAUUGCAAAGGGUUCUGUUUAUCUCUACACAUGAAUUCCAGGUUGGCAGAUGCAUGUAAAUUCUCAUUAAAAAAAAGUUAUGCUAGAAUGCUCACUGUGCUUAUUAGCCCAUAGUAAAUAAUCCUGUUUCUUCUCUAAUAUAUCCAGUGUUAGGAGUGUAUGUUGAUUUUGUAUGGUUCACAGUGUGCUCUGUCAGCAAAUAUGCAAGAAGUGUUUAAGAGUUAUGAUUGGUUUCAAAAACUCCUGUUUGAAGAAGUUUAUUUUUAAGUAAAUCUUACAGCUGAAUGCUAUUUUAUAUACAGAGUAGUUAAGUUUUUGGUACUUUUUUUCCAUUACAGGAGUGACACUACAUCAGCUAUUCAAAAGCAUUUAUUUUCUGUAUCAUACAAUCUUUU